This 341-nucleotide ribosomal RNA is filed under the name uncultured Oscillospiraceae bacterium. RNAcentral describes it as "bacterial SSU rRNA". It matches the Rfam family "Bacterial small subunit ribosomal RNA", at positions 1 to 339 of the family's 1533-position model. The record is from RNAcentral. Lineage: Bacteria; Bacillati; Bacillota; Clostridia; Eubacteriales; Oscillospiraceae.
AGUAGUUUGAUCCUGGCUCGAGGACGAACGCUGGCGGUAUGCUUAAUACAUGCAAGUCGAACGGAGCUCAGCGGAAGCUUGCUUCUGCGAAAGCUUAGUGGCGGACGGGUGAGUAACGCGUGAGUAACCUGCCUUAAAGAGGGGGAUAACACAGAGAAAUUUGUGCUAAUACCGCAUAAUGUAGCGAAGCCGCAUGACUUUGCUACCAAAGGUCAGCCGCUUUAAGAUGGACUCGCGUCCGAUUAGGUAGUUGGUGAGGUAACGGCCCACCAAGCCGACGAUCGGUAGCCGGACUGAGAGGUCGAACGGCCACAUUGGGACUGAGACACGGCCCAGACUCC